UAAAUAUCCCAGAUUUUACUUAUGCUAAAAUUGUGAAGCAGCUUUUAAAACAUUAGUUCUUCCUGUUUGACCUGAUAGUUUAUUUCAACAUUUAGUUAAUUGCUAAAUGACUUUGAGGAAUAGCUUUUAUUUUGUUGAAAUACACUUUUCUGUAGAUGGUGCUGAACAGAUGAGAGCUUUGGGGGCCAACAGUAGAGGAACUCUAACACUGCGAUCCACUCUUCACUUUUGGCAGGUGCUUUGCAAGUAUUGAUAGAGAUGAAAAACCAAGAUGUGAAGUUCACCAAAGAUACCUAUGUUCUUGCUUUUGCAAUUUGCUACAAACUGAAUAGCCCUGAGUCUUUCAAAAUCUGUACUACAUUAAGAGAAGAAGCUCUACUCAAAGGGGAAAUUCUCUCCAGGAGAGCAUCCUGUUUCGCUGUGGCAUUAGCUCUGAAUCAGAAUGAGAUGGCAAAAGCUAUGUCCAUUUUUUCUCAAAUCAUGAAUCCAGAAAGCAUAGCCUGCAUUAAUUUAAAUAUUAUAAUCCACAUCCAGUCAAAUAUGUUGGAAAACCUGAUAAAGACUCUAAAAAAUGCUGCAGAAGGAAAUUUAUCAAAAUUUGUGAGAAGACAUGUGUUCUCGGAGGAAGUGCUGGCCAAAGUGAGGGAAAAAGUGAAGGAUGUGCCUGCCCUUGUGGCCAAAUUUGAUGAGAUCUAUGGGACACUGCACAUCACUGGCCAGGUCACCACUGAUUCUUUGGAUGCUGUGCUCUGCCACACCCCCAGGGACAGGAAAUCUCACACGUUGCUAUUAAACAAGAGGAUGGUCAGCCGUCGCACCUUCCAGCCACUCAGCCAGUCCCUGUUGGCUGAGUAACCCUGGUUUCAGUCCACCUAUGGAUCUGAGGGGCCUGCUUCUAAUGAGUUAUUGCCUUUCCUAAGAAGCCAGGUAUCGCACUUCAGCAGACAGUGUGCUGACACUUGGUCUUCUCCUGAAAUUCCCAAAUUCACUGAAUGGUACCAUGCUGAUCUCUGAGAAGUUAUGUUGCACCACUGUGAAGGUCUAGAUGCAAGCUUGGCUCCCUCAGAAAGGCGCUUCCCUUUUGCAUGGCUGAGGAUCCUUGAAGGAACCUGGUCAGUCUCCAGUUCAGCUUCCGGCACCAGAGUGGAACCCAGUAAGCACCAUCAGGAAUGAAUUUCACUACAAGUGUGGAUAACUCUGAUUUUCAAAGGAGUAGUUACUUGCAAAUUACAUCCUUGCUGAAUUCAGGAG
Molecule: small RNA, 1251 nt
Filed under: Pan troglodytes (chimpanzee)
Lineage: Eukaryota; Metazoa; Chordata; Mammalia; Primates; Hominidae
Description: processed transcript
Source: RNAcentral